AACUAUAACGGUCCUAAGGUAGCGAAAUUCCUUGUCGGGUAAGUUCCGACCCGCACGAAAGGCGUAACGAUUUGGGCACUGUCUCAACGAGAGACUCGGUGAAAUCAUAGUACCUGUGAAGAUGCAGGUUACCCGCGACAGGACGGAAAGACCCCGUGGAGCUUUACUGUAGCCUGAUAUUGAAAUUCGGCACAGCUUGUACAGGAUAGGUAGGAGCCUUUGAAACGUGAGCGCUAGCUUACGUGGAGGCGCUGGUGGGAUACUACCCUAGCUGUGUUGGCUUUCUAACCCGCACCACUUAUCGUGGUGGGAGACAGUGUCAGGCGGGCAGUUUGACUGGGGCGGUCGCCUCCUAAAAGGUAACGGAGGCGCUCAAAGGUUCCCUCAGAAUGGUUGGAAAUCAUUCAUAGAGUGUAAAGGCAUAAGGGAGCUUGACUGCGAGACCUACAAGUCGAGCAGGGUCGAAAGACGGACUUAGUGAUCCGGUGGUUCCGCAUGGAAGGGCCAUCGCUCAACGGAUAAAAGCUACCCCGGGGAUAACAGGCUUAUCUCCCCCAAGAGUUCACAUCGACGGGGAGGUUUGGCACCUCGAUGUCGGCUCAUCGCAUCCUGGGGCUGUAGUCGGUCCCAAGGGUUGGGCUGUUCGCCCAUUAAAGCGGUACGCGAGCUGGGUUCAGAACGUCGUGAGACAGUUCGGUCCCUAUCCGUCGUGGGCGUAGGAAAUUUGAGAGGAGCUGUCCUUAGUACGAGAGGACCGGGAUGGACAUACCUCUGGUGUACCAGUUGUCGUGCCAACGGCAUAGCUGGGUAGCUAUGUGUGGACGGGAUAAGUGCUGAAAGCAUCUAAGCAUGAAGCCCCCCUCAAGAUGAGAUUUCCC
RNAcentral lists this ribosomal RNA (878 nucleotides) under Staphylococcus aureus. Its description in RNAcentral is "partial 23S ribosomal RNA". It matches the Rfam family "Bacterial large subunit ribosomal RNA", at positions 1938 to 2815 of the family's 2925-position model. The record is from RNAcentral. Lineage: Bacteria; Bacillati; Bacillota; Bacilli; Caryophanales; Staphylococcaceae.